UAUNGCACAAUGGGGGAAACCCUGAUGCAGCNACGCCGCGUGAGUGAAGAAGUAUUUCGGUAUGUAACGCUCUAUCAGCGGGGAAGAUAAUGCCGGUACCUGACUCAGAAGCCCCGGCUAACUACGUGCCAGCAGCCGCGGUAAUACGUAGGGGGCAAGCGUUAUCCGGAUUUACUGGGUGUAAAGGGAGCGUAGGUGGCAGGGCAAGUCAGAUGUGAAAACCCGGGGCUCAACCCCGGGAGUGCAUUUGAAACUGUCCGGCUGGAGUGCAGGAGAGGCAAGCGGAAUUCCUAGUGUAGCGGUGAAAUGCAUAGAUAUUAGGAGGAACACCAGUGGCGAAGGCGGCUUACUGGACUGUAACUGACACUGAGGCUCGAAAGCGUGGGGAGCAAACAGG
Molecule: ribosomal RNA, 397 nt
Filed under: uncultured bacterium
Lineage: Bacteria
Description: bacterial SSU rRNA
Rfam family: Bacterial small subunit ribosomal RNA
Source: RNAcentral